UCACAUAUGGUCAGUUACAUUUCUUGAAUGUGGCCCUGUGAGCAUUCCCAACGAAUAAACACCAUCUCUUUCUUUUCCAGAUCCCCCUAAGAACACCUCAGUUUCCGUCGAGCCCCCCGGUCCAGUGCAGGACGGCAGCUCUGUGACUCUGACCUGCACAACCGUCGCCAAUCCAGCAGCGGUUAACUUCACCUGGUUCCGAGUGGUGGGCAGAGAAAAUGAGCCGGUGGGCUCUGAGCGAGACUUCACCUUCAACGUGACCAAACUCUCAGAGGAUCAGUUUUACUGCGAAGCUCUGAACGUCCACGGAGCUGAACUCUCAGAGCCUGCCAGUUUCGACGUCACAUGUGAGAUUAAUUGAUCAUUUUACUGAACUGCAAGCCUUUGAUUUUACCUGGAAGUUUAACCGAGCAUGUACAAAUAGCCAACUUCAUCCUCUGUCUCAGUUGCUCCAGAGAUCCUGCUUUCCUCCCGCUGCAUCAAGAUUUUAUCCCAGGUCCGAUGUUCCUGUGACAGCCAGGCGAACCCCCCUCCCUCCCUGCUUUGGGAGUUAGCCGGAGAGCCUGUCAAUCACUCUGCGGACAUCCCGAUCCAGGAAGUUCCCCUGGGAGACCUGAGCAUGAGGAGCGUCAUCACCUUGUACCGCCUGGACGAACACAUGCCCUCUCUCGUCUGCGUCAGCAUCAACUCGCUGGGCUCUGAUAGUGUUGUGUUCAACGUGACCGCCAGUGAAACUCAGCUAGGUAGAGGAAUGUUUGAAGUGUUGCAUUUACACUUGGCUUUUCUUCUGUGUGAUCUGCCCCUCCUUGGUUUGACUGAUGGAUGAAAUGGUUUGUCGGGACUUUUCAGGUCUCCACACUGUGUCUCUGUUGAUCGGCUCUGCAGUAGGAGCUCUGGGGAUGCUGCUGGUGUGUGUCCCGCUGCUGCUUUUCUACUGCAGGAAAAGGAAAGGCAGCCUUUCACCUGACAAGGGACCGGUGGACACUUCGGACAUUUUAGCUAAUGGGAAAAGCUCUUCACCAGUGGAUGUGAUCUAUGCCAAUGCAGCCAUUGUAGAACAGGAAGCUGCAGCUAACGAGGACUCUAUCCACUACGCCAACGUGACUUUUGCUAAACUCCAGGCCAACUCAGAGAGCAAGCUCAGUGAGGGCGAGAUCCGAGGCCUGGACUCCAAGACCGGGGAGUACGCUCAGAUCCGUUUGAAGCCCAAGGAACGCAGGGGAGGAGAUGCAACAAAUGGAGAGACAGCUGCUGAUACUCAUCUGGGUCAAGAGAAAGACACUGAUGGUCUCAUAGGACAGGUCAGUGAAAAGGUUUUGGCUUAA
Molecule: long non-coding RNA, 1325 nt
Filed under: Sparus aurata (gilthead seabream)
Lineage: Eukaryota; Metazoa; Chordata; Actinopteri; Spariformes; Sparidae
Description: lncRNA (ENSSAUG00010023599.1)
Source: RNAcentral